AAUCUCAUUAACCACCAUAAAAAACAAGGGUAAAAAUGUCUAAUUAAAAUGAUAAAAAAUAAAAUGAUUUGUUGGAAAAUAAAAUAAAUGUUUGAUGAGAAAAAGUAUGUACAAAAAUAUUGGAUUAAAAAGAAAUAAAUGAUAAAGGAAAAAAAUAAAUAAAAUGGAAAGAAAAUAAAUAAAAUAAAAUAAGAAAUAAGAAAUAAAAGGGACAAGAAAGAAAAAAAGAACAAUAGGGGCGCUGGGGGUUAAACCCCUGACCUUGGGGUCCUAGGUCACCCCCCUUUCCACUGGGCUAAGCGCCCUUGGUGUUAACUAGCAUGCUUAAUAAAACUAAAUAAUAAACCUCAAUCAGAAAUAACACAUGGGAUUUCCAUGACCACAUGAUCAGAUCACUUAAAGUAAGGAAGCGAGAUGGAUGCUUAUGUUCCUAGGGAAC
Molecule: long non-coding RNA, 439 nt
Filed under: Lathyrus oleraceus (garden pea)
Lineage: Eukaryota; Viridiplantae; Streptophyta; Magnoliopsida; Fabales; Fabaceae
Description: Pisum sativum (pea) long non-coding RNA (PSAT_LNC031750)
Source: RNAcentral